RNAcentral lists this transfer RNA (72 nucleotides) under Apaloderma vittatum (bar-tailed trogon). It matches the Rfam family "tRNA". Rfam says of the family: Transfer RNA (tRNA) molecules are approximately 80 nucleotides in length. Their secondary structure includes four short double-helical elements and three loops (D, anti-codon, and T loops). Lineage: Eukaryota; Metazoa; Chordata; Aves; Trogoniformes; Trogonidae. The record is from Rfam by way of RNAcentral.
GGCCGGUUAGGUAAGUCAGUUGAGCAUGGCGCUAACAACGCCAAGGUCACGGGUUCGAUUCCCGUUCGGUCC